CUAAGCUUAUGGACUUAGCACCUGAGACUGCAAUAUUAUUGACUCUAGAUGAUGAAGGAAAUGUGAUUAAUGAAGAAGAGAUUGACGGCCGGAUGAUACAAAAGAACGAUGUGAUUAAAAUCAUCCCUGGUGCAAAAGUAGCUUCAGAUGGUUUUGUCAUAUGGGGUCAGAGCCAUGUCAAUGAAAGCAUGAUAACAGGAGAAGCGCGACCAGUGGCAAAGAGGAAAGGUGAUCCAGUGAUUGGAGGUACUGUGAAUGAGAAUGGAGUAUUGCAUAUUAAGGC
RNAcentral lists this unclassified non-coding RNA (283 nucleotides) under Hevea brasiliensis (rubber tree). Lineage: Eukaryota; Viridiplantae; Streptophyta; Magnoliopsida; Malpighiales; Euphorbiaceae. The record is from RNAcentral.